GUUUCAAGGCGCCCUUUACGGGUUUUCACCUCGGCCUCUCCUUUUUCUUUUUUCGUUCUUCUUUUCUUUUCUUUUUUCUUUUCAUGUUUUUUCAAGUUAGGUAUUUAUUGCUUGAAUCAGAAUUCUAAAGAUUAGGCAGGUUCUUGCCAUCCAUCUUGGUCAAUAUCCACGCUUUUUCAGAUAAGACCUUCCACAUAAGGUCGUUUCUAGUUUGGUAUCCACUUUCUUCUGAAGUUCUUUUAUAUGGUAAGGAUCUUCUUCGAUAUCAGGUCCCCCUCAUGGAAUUCUCU
RNAcentral lists this long non-coding RNA (290 nucleotides) under Gossypium raimondii (Peruvian cotton). RNAcentral's name for it is "long non-coding RNA (GRAI_LNC007427)". Lineage: Eukaryota; Viridiplantae; Streptophyta; Magnoliopsida; Malvales; Malvaceae. The record is from RNAcentral.